Molecule: long non-coding RNA, 760 nt
Filed under: Bos taurus (domestic cattle)
Lineage: Eukaryota; Metazoa; Chordata; Mammalia; Artiodactyla; Bovidae
Description: long non-coding RNA NONBTAT005546
Source: RNAcentral
CAGAGUCCAGUAUGUCUAGUUCAUCUAGAGUUGGGUAUUGUGUUGAAUUCCAUUUCCUAUCCUUAUUGAUUCAUUCACACUGGGCUUAAUUUGAGGAUGCUCCCCCCAUGGGGUCCUUGCUGUGUCCCUUCAUGGGCUCUCUUCCAGUGGAUGUGAUAAACACAGCUGGAAAGUUGCCUUUUAAAUAGUUUACGACCUUCUUUAUCCUGUACAUAAUAUAGCAAAUAUGUGAUGUUCAGAGCCAUAAAAGAUAUUUUAAAGGUAUCGUUUGUUUGCUGAUGUUGCACAAAUGUACUCAGCGGUCUCAGUUAUCAUAUAUUCUCAAGUUGGAUUGUCUUUUAUGACUGGGGGAAGGGCAAGAGAUAUUUGUGAUGUUUCAGCCUCUCUUAUGUAAGUAACUGAAACACACAAUUUUGCUAUUGAAAAUAUUAAGUAACCAGGAACAUGGUACCCGGCUGGCUCACAAAAAGCUAAAAUUGCAUUACUUAGGAGCCCCACGCCUGAGGAACUUAUGAAAACCACUUGAAUAAACAGGAGGGAGGAAGAGGUGACAGCACUCCAACUGCAAACACAAAGCAAGGGCCCCAGAUUCUUGUAUCUACACAUCACAAGAGCUUAUGUUAGGGGCUGUGAAGCCUAUUAAUUUCUCUCUCCCUGACCCUGCUUUCCCAUUGGAAGUGCAUGUGAUUAUUUUCAAUUGUCACACAUAUAGCUGUUUUGUGAUUUCAUAUACAAGCAAAUCUGUAUAUUUUUUCAACAA